This 1404-nucleotide ribosomal RNA is filed under the name uncultured Bacteroidota bacterium. RNAcentral's name for it is "bacterial SSU rRNA". It matches the Rfam family "Bacterial small subunit ribosomal RNA". The record is from RNAcentral. Lineage: Bacteria; Pseudomonadati; Bacteroidota.
CUACACAUGCAGUCGAGGGGCAGCGCGAGGAGUAGCAAUACUUUUGGCGGCGACCGGCGCACGGGUGCGUAACGCGUAUGUAACCUACCUUUAACCGGGGGAUAAUUCGGAGAAAUCUGGUCUAAUACCCCAUAAUACUUUUGAGGGCAUCCUCGGGAGUUGAAAGCUCCGGCAGUUAAAGAUGGACAUGCGUUGUAUUAGCUUGUUGGUGAGGUAACGGCUCACCAAGGCAACGAUACAUAGGGGGACUGAGAGGUUUACCCCCCACACUGGUACUGAGACACGGACCAGACUCCUACGGGAGGCAGCAGUGAGGAAUAUUGGUCAAUGGACGCAAGUCUGAACCAGCCAUGCCGCGUGCAGGAUGACGGCUCUAUGAGUUGUAAACUGCUUUUGCACGAGGGUAAACCCGGAUACGUGUAUCCGGCUGAAAGUAUCGUGCGAAUAAGGAUCGGCUAACUCCGUGCCAGCAGCCGCGGUAAUACGGAGGAUCCAAGCGUUAUCCGGAUUUAUUGGGUUUAAAGGGUGCGCAGGCGGCCCGGUAAGUUAGAGGUGAAAGCCCGUGGCUCAACCACGGAACUGCCUCUGAUACUGUCGGGCUAGAGAGUAGUUGCUGUUGGCGGAAUGUGUGGUGUAGCGGUGAAAUGCUUAGAUAUCACACAGAACACCGAUUGCGAAAGCAGCUGACAAAACUACGACUGACGCUCAGGCACGAAAGCGUGGGGAGCAAACAGGAUUAGAUACCCUGGUAGUCCACGCCGUAAACGAUGAUAGCUCGUUGCAGGCGAUACACAGUCUGUGACUUAGCGAAAGCGUUAAGCUAUCCACCUGGGGAGUACGUUCGCAAGAAUGAAACUCAAAGGAAUUGACGGGGGCCCGCACAAGCGGAGGAACAUGUGGUUUAAUUCGAUGAUACGCGAGGAACCUUACCCGGGCUUGAAAGUUAGUGACCGCUGCCGAAAGGCGGCUUCCCUUCGGGGCACGAAACUAGGUGCUGCAUGGUUGUCGUCAGCUCGUGCCGUGAGGUGUCGGGUUAAGUCCCAUAACGAGCGCAACCCCUACUGUCAGUUGCCAGCGAGUAAUGUCGGGAACUCUGGCAGGACUGCCGGUGUAAGCCGAGAGGAAGGUGGGGAUGACGUCAAAUCAGCACGGCCCUUACGUCCGGGGCGACACACGUGUUACAAUGGCCGAUACAGAGGGCUGCUACCCGGCAACGGGACGCCAAUCUCAAAAAUCGGUCUCAGUUCGGAUCGGAGGCUGAAACUCGCCUCCGUGAAGUUGGAUUCGCUAGUAAUCGCGCAUCAGCCAUGGCGCGGUGAAUACGUUCCCGGGCCUUGUACACACCGCCCGUCAAGCCAUGAAAGCCGAGGGCGCCUAAAGUCCGUCACCGAAAGGAGCGGCCUA